UGACCUAAACCCUCACCAGAGUACAAUUGGAGGGCAAGUCUGGUGCCAGCAGCCGCGGUAAUUCCAGCUCCAAUAGCGUAUAUUAAACUUGUUGCAGUUAAAAAGCUCGUAGUUGAAUUUUUGCGUCACCGUGUAUCGACAUUGGUCGUUUAUCGGUUUCGCUUUUGGGAUUUAUCCCUUUUUACUUUGAGAAAAUUAGAGUGUUUCAAGCAGACUUUUGUCUUGAAUACUUCAGCAUGGAAUAAUAGAGUAGGACUUUGGUUCUAUUUUGUUG
RNAcentral lists this ribosomal RNA (274 nucleotides) under Babesia cf. odocoilei. Its description in RNAcentral is "partial small subunit ribosomal RNA". It matches the Rfam family "Eukaryotic small subunit ribosomal RNA", at positions 521 to 846 of the family's 1831-position model. Lineage: Eukaryota; Apicomplexa; Aconoidasida; Piroplasmida; Babesiidae. The record is from RNAcentral.